GAUACACUAAGUCUAAAAUUGGUAAAACAACAAGAGAGCGAAAUGGAAAUUAAUUUCUUGGAUGUCCAGAUUAGGAUCGAGAAUGGAGAGUACAACCUUAGCAUUUUCCAUAAGGAAACUUAUAAACCAUUAUUCAUACCAGCAACAUCGCAAGAGCCCUGGUCAUACAUGACGGCCGCAUUUAGAUUCUUAUUACAACGGUUGAAUACCCACUGUACAACUUAUGAAAGAGCCAGAUGAAAGAGCUACGUUGGGUUAUAGAUCAAGCUAUAAGACAUGGAUACAGUAAGAAUUUGAUUAUCAACAUGUGGAAUAAAAUAGCCAAGAGAUAUGACAAGAGGAAUAAUCCAGUCCUCGACACUCACAGGCCGUUCGUUAAUAUCGAAAUUAACCCACUUACCUUGAGGUAUAGACGAAAAAUUGAAAAGUGUACCAACUCGCGAUUG
Molecule: long non-coding RNA, 446 nt
Filed under: Androctonus crassicauda
Lineage: Eukaryota; Metazoa; Arthropoda; Arachnida; Scorpiones; Buthidae
Source: RNAcentral